RNAcentral lists this non-coding RNA (24 nucleotides) under Arabidopsis thaliana (thale cress). The record is from RNAcentral. Lineage: Eukaryota; Viridiplantae; Streptophyta; Magnoliopsida; Brassicales; Brassicaceae.
CGCAGCGGGUGCGAUUGCGGUUGC